UCAACCAAAAAAGGUUUGUCAUAAGUUAAUUAAGUGCAGCUUUCUGAGGCGUAACUGCAACAUCCCCUUUGUUUUUUGUUUUUUUAAACACGAUACUGGCACAGCUAUAGCUAAUACACAUACAUACAUAAAUGUUCAUACUGUCUGUGCAAUGUGAUCUGAGACAUCUGAGGUCAUUCUAUCACAGUAUAUUUCUCAAACAAGACUGCAGGAUUCUUCACAUUAUAUACUGAAAGCACAGAAUGGAUUUUAUAUUGCGUGUAGUUUCCACUGUGUUACAAGCAGAUGAGCAUUUCAAACGCAUUACAAUUUGAAAUAAAAACAUAGCAGGAAGCGCAUGGUGUUUGAAAAGGAUAUUCAAUUUAAGAUUUCUUAAAUACAGCUACUUGUCUCUAUAUUACAUACUUAUUCCCUAAUAACAAAUAGAGGAAACGUUUGUAGCUUUUUGCACAUAAAAUGGUUAAUAGUGGACCGUACCGCAGCCUGCACUAGAGCUUCACUUGAAGUGUUUACGUAAGAAAUCUGGAAACCAGCACGUGACUGGAGACGUGAAUGAUCCCUAUUGUCCUAGUUCUUCCAUUUGGAAGCUGUCACCAAUGAUGUUAUUCACUUUACAUGAAUUUGCAUGAGUGAGUACCACCUCGUGUCUGUGUUACCUUCUGGCUCGCCCUGUUAGUUACUUACGUUUGUUCAUUUAGCAGACACUUUUAUCCAAAGAGACUUACAAAUGAGGAAAUACAAGCAAAGUGAUAUCUCAAGCGGAGAACAAUAUAAGUGGUGCUACCAUACAAGAUCUUUUGAGCUCUAGAAAAGCAAAGUGCACAGAGCAGAGGUGUAAGUGCCAGAGUAGGUUCUGUUGUUUUUUUAAGGAUAAUGUGGGGUUGUUAAGUUAGGGGUUGGUUAGGUGUUCAUGGAAGAUGUGGGUCUUUAGCUGUUUUCUGAAGAUAGUGACAGAUUCUGCGGGCCGGAUUGAGGUUGGAAGUUCAUUCCACCACUGAGGGACAGUUAGUUUGAAGGUUCUGGAAAGGGACCUUGAGCCACACAGAGUAGGCACUACAAAGCAUCGGUCAUUAAUUGAUCGUAGAUUGCGUGAGGGAAAGUAAGCCUUCAGGAGAUAGUUGAGGUAUGGGGGUGCUGUUCCAGACAAGGUUUUGUACGUGAGCAUCAAGGCCUCGAAUUUGAUUACGGGCGGCUACAUGAAGCCAGUGGAGGGAGAUGAAGAGGGGUGUGACAUGGGUUCUUUUGGGCUUGUUGAAAAGUUAUGCUGCCGUAGUCAGUCUUGCCCCACUCACACAAAGUACAUUGUCCUUAACCAUUACAUGACAAUAAGCGUAACUAAUAAUCACUCCCUCUCUGUCGAGCUACACACGUUACUCCUGAGAUACCAGUGAUCCUGACCCCUUCUGCUUUCUGGACCUGCCCGAUCUAUCCUGAUGCCCUUCUUUUGGUUGGAGUUCUCAUCAAUUGGAAGUCACAUGCUGCUGCUGAGGAUGACCCCACAUGGGGCAGCCUAAAGAUCAUUGAGACUGCUGAAGAUGGUACCACUUAAAGCCCAUAAAGCUGGCUUUGGACCAAAAUUCAUAUGAACAGUUAUGCUAUGAUGGCUUAGGACUACAGUUGCCACAGUUUUGCACUCAAGUCUCCAUCAGUGAACAGUGGUGUAAUGUGUGGCACAGAGGAAAACUGACCAAAGUCAGCCUGGAGAAGGGGAUCAAUGAAGGUCAAACUGCAACAAGCUCAAAUGGCAAAAGGCAGGAUGAAGGAAGCUGGACUCUGAGAAGUGAUUAUAGACAAGUUUGCAUUUCUGUGAGAGGAAAAACACAGUAUUCAAACUGCAUUCCUUUGCUUUUCAUCCAUUAUAACCAUCUUUUUUCUGUACCACUUAUCCUUCACGGGGCCACGGGGAACUGGAGCCUAUCCCAGGGGACUCUCAGCACGAGGUGCGGUUCACCAUGGAUGGGGUGCCACAAUCGCGCACACACACUACAGACUAUUUGGACAUGCCAAAUCAGCCUACAAUGCAUGACUUUAGACUCAAGGAGGAAACCGGAGCACCCAGAGGAAACCCCCAAAGCACGGGGAGAACAUGCAAACUCUGCACACACAGGGCGGAGGUGGGAAUCGAACCGCCAAUCCCGGAGUGCUAAUACAGUGCAGUGGAGGGUCAAUGGGUUACUGAUCAGGAGGGCGGGGGUUCAAGCCCCAGCACCGCCAAGCUGCCACUGCUGGGCCCUUGAGCAAGUCCCUUAACCCUCUCUGCUGCAGUGUGCCGUAUCGUGGCUGAUCCUGCGCUCUGACCCCAACUUGUGUGAAGAAGGAAUUUCACUGUGCUGUAAAGUAUAUGUGACAAAUAAAGGCUU
This is a long non-coding RNA of Ictalurus furcatus (blue catfish), 2360 nucleotides long. RefSeq lists it as uncharacterized. The transcript has 3 exons. The record is from RefSeq and is a predicted model, not a curated record. Lineage: Eukaryota; Metazoa; Chordata; Actinopteri; Siluriformes; Ictaluridae.